GCGCCCGUGGCGGAAUUGGCAGACGCGCAGGAUUUAGGUUCCUGUGCCCGAGGGCGUGGGGGUUCAAGUCCCCCCGGGCGCACGA
Molecule: transfer RNA, 85 nt
Filed under: Corynebacterium xerosis
Lineage: Bacteria; Bacillati; Actinomycetota; Actinomycetes; Mycobacteriales; Corynebacteriaceae
Description: tRNA-Leu
Rfam family: tRNA
About the family: Transfer RNA (tRNA) molecules are approximately 80 nucleotides in length. Their secondary structure includes four short double-helical elements and three loops (D, anti-codon, and T loops).
Source: RNAcentral